AGAGAGAGAGAGAGAGAGACAAAAGGAAUUUUUAGAAAGUUAUUUAUAAGUGAAAAAAAGAAAAGCAAUUCAAGGUUAUUUUUCAAACCAAAGGAUAUACAAAACCAUGAAGAAAAUUUUUAAGGCAAUAGAUGGCAUGACCAAAACUUUAACCUUGGUGCCCUAGCAUUUAAACUGUCAUCAGAGUAACUGAAUCAAUCAAUGACUCAAGCUCCUAUAAAAUAUAUUUGUUCAGCCAACCAACCACUUAAUGCAUUAUAAAAUCAAUCCAAUAAAGAUUAGGAGGAACCAUGAUCCAGAGUUUCAGACACAGAAAUCCUAUUGUCAUUUUGGAAACUGAAAUAUUUCAAACAUAAACACAUUCAAGGAAAUCAAAUAUAGGGUUCUAUUGUUGGAACAAUCCAACACUUGUGAAUCUACAUGGUACCUAACAAUUUGUACAAAAAAUUCUUGGCUCGAGUAAAUGACUAAAUAUUUGAUAAGGUACAAGUUAUGCAACAGAUUAAUUUGGAUCAGGGGCCUUGAAGGACUGCAAACAAAUUUAUAAACUACUAACGGUGACUUACAAGAAAAGAUUGUUUAGAAGUUGGGUACCCAGCAAACACCAUUUGCCUGGGAUUAAGGAAUAGGUAUCUUCAGCAUUCUUGGUUUUGAUCGACAUGUUCAUAAACAGACAAACCCCAAAAUAAAUCUCUUUAUCAAGAUCAUUGCCAUUUGGCACGUAAUGCCGAAUGUAAGUAAUCUAUUGCUCAGUUGCCUAAUAAGAAAUUUAUGGGAGUUUUAAGUUGCCAAUUUUGUGCUUAUAUCAGCUAAUAUGUGUAGCACCUGACACGUUAGACAUAUCGAGAAGAUUUUUGUAAUGUCUUGUCCAGAAGCAUGAACUAUGAGUAGGAUGUUCCCAACAUCUCCACAAGGUAAAUAACAAAAUGAUUUUACUUGCACAAAUUAUAGGUAGGAUAUUCCCAAUAUCUCCGCAAAGUACUAAUGAACUGCACAAACUGACUGUUUAUGUUUCAAAACUUACAAACUAAUGGUACCAGUUAUAAAAAUAAAUAAUAACAAUUGUACCCUUGGACGUAGCACAAUUAGAGCAAAGACAGGAUUCAAUCGAUGAGAAUAAAUAUGCCUGAAAUGUAUAAUCAAAAAUGCUACCUGCCUUACUCUUUAUAUUGUUCAGGAAAACGAUAUUGCCAAUGCUUUUAAUAGAAAAUAUUGCCAACACACAAUUUCGAAAGGAUUAAUCACCUGAAAUGGCUUGAACAUUUACUCAAUUCGCAAUUACAUCCCAUACUUCCCAAAUAGGCAAAUUCGCCCUAUACUUUAAUCAUUGAGAAUAAUCAUGGCAAAGCCGCUCAAAAAUACUUAUAAAGGAGGAGGAGAUG
Molecule: unclassified non-coding RNA, 1382 nt
Filed under: Hevea brasiliensis (rubber tree)
Lineage: Eukaryota; Viridiplantae; Streptophyta; Magnoliopsida; Malpighiales; Euphorbiaceae
Source: RNAcentral